This 97-nucleotide transfer RNA is filed under the name Aspergillus ustus. It matches the Rfam family "tRNA". From Rfam's summary of the family: Transfer RNA (tRNA) molecules are approximately 80 nucleotides in length. Their secondary structure includes four short double-helical elements and three loops (D, anti-codon, and T loops). Lineage: Eukaryota; Fungi; Ascomycota; Eurotiomycetes; Eurotiales; Aspergillaceae. The record is from Rfam by way of RNAcentral.
GCCCGGUUAGCUCAGUCGGUAGAGCGUGCGGCUUUUACUUCACGGCCUAAUUCUGCCGGUUACCGCAAUGUCGGGGGUUCGAGCCCCCCAUCGGGCG